UAGAUUUAAAAACUACCUAAACCGAACACACGAAGAACACACAGUCUCCCGUAAUCUCCUCCUCCGUGUUUAUCAACAAUGAACUGUCUCCUUAACUUCCCCCACUCAAUUCUUUUGAUUUUGCUUUAAUCUUUUCUUUUUUUUUUCGAUUUUCCUUUUCUUUGAUUCAGACGUUAAACUCCAUAAAUUUUAUCACACAGAUCCCUUCGAAUUUUAUCAAAAUCCCUGAUUGUUGAAGAAAUUGGAAUCGAUUCUAAUUUCUCAUAGGAGUCGAGAUUUUUUUUUUCUUUUUCGAAAUUAAAGAUUUCUCUAUACAUCUCCAUCUUUUACCUAACUACCUGGAUUAAAGAUAUACACAAAUAUAGCUUGGAAUGGUGAAAAUGGUGGUGGAUCGAUGGCAAAGAUGGUUGUGGAUAAGAAUCAUCAUCAAAAAGGUGAUCCAGGGUAGAGGAGAGCUAAAAAGGCGAAAUGACUCUUGUGAUUUUGGUAUAAUUUUUUUGUUUAUUCAUUUGCUCGGCUAGGUAUUCCUUCAGCAAUUGAAGUUUUUCUUGGGAUUAAGAGUCAUGCACUCAUGCUGAUGCUUGUUGAUAAAAGGGUUAUUGCAGAUUUUUUUUAGCUCAAAGGAACUUCCUGUGGUUGAAGGGAUAUAUGGAGAAGAAAGAAAAUCUCUGUGAUUUCGAUCUUCAAGCUGAAGGAAAACUCAAGGAAGAUAAAGAAGAAACAAUGGAAGAAUUGGGUCUAGCAUUUAUAAAAGUAACUGAUGAUGCGAAGAUUAUUGUUGUUAGAGAGUAUCUAUGAGAGAUCAAGGUAAUAUGAGUUGAAGGAGAGUACGACUAAGAAGAAGAGAACCAGUGUUUUACAACAGUAGAUGUUGGAUUUUCGGAAGGCCUGCGUCCUUCAUUGGAAGAUGUAGAUGUUACGAUCAAUCAUUCAAAAGGUUUAACUAAAGUUUCUCUCUUACUGAAGGUAUACCGUAUGAUGAACAAGCAUCUAGAAGUUCGAUUUUUUGUUGAUUUUUUUUUUAUUCUUCUUUUUUAUAUUGAACAUGAUGUGUAGCUUCUGUUGGUUUUGGUUUCUCAAGUUGUAAUUUUGCUUUUGAAGUAUGUAAUUGAAUUUUAAUUGGUUUUAAUAAAAUGAUUUUAAUUUAUUGAUAAAA
Molecule: long non-coding RNA, 1156 nt
Organism: Papaver somniferum (opium poppy)
Lineage: Eukaryota; Viridiplantae; Streptophyta; Magnoliopsida; Ranunculales; Papaveraceae
Exons: 4
Source: RefSeq, a predicted model, not a curated record